UUUCUCAGACUAGCCAUGCACGUCUAGUACGAACUAAAUGAUGGUGAAACUGCAAAUGGCUCAUUACAACGGUUAUGAUGUACCCGGGAGUUCCGAUGGAUAUUUCCAGUAACACUAGAACUAAUACAUGUCCCUGCGUUUAUUAGUUUCGCACAGUCCGUCGCUGAGUCAUGGUAAACAGUUGAUCGACUCGACGUCCCGGAACAGUUUCCGCCCCAUCAGCUUCGAUGGUUGGGUAUUGGCCUACCAUUGCAACAACGGGUAACGAGGAAUUAGGGUUUGAUUUCGGAGAGGGAGCCUGAGAAACGGCUACCACAUCUACGGAUGGCAGCAGGCGCGCAAAUUACCCAAUGCAGACACUGUGAGGUAGUGACGAGAAAUAAUAAAGCGGGACUUCUGUUUCGCUAUUAUAAUGAGGAAUAACCAAAGGUCAUUCCGAUUAGCAACUGAUGGGAAAGUCUGGUGCCAGCAGCCGCGGUAAUACCAGCGUCAGUAGCAUA
RNAcentral lists this ribosomal RNA (500 nucleotides) under uncultured Myrionecta. Its description in RNAcentral is "SSU rRNA". It matches the Rfam family "Eukaryotic small subunit ribosomal RNA", at positions 35 to 601 of the family's 1831-position model. The record is from RNAcentral. Lineage: Eukaryota; Ciliophora; Litostomatea; Cyclotrichida; Mesodiniidae.